RNAcentral lists this transfer RNA (78 nucleotides) under Candidatus Bathyarchaeota archaeon. RNAcentral's name for it is "tRNA-Pro". It matches the Rfam family "tRNA". Rfam says of the family: Transfer RNA (tRNA) molecules are approximately 80 nucleotides in length. The record is from RNAcentral. RNAcentral also lists the same sequence under 1 other name. Lineage: Archaea; Thermoproteati; Candidatus Bathyarchaeota.
GGGGCUGUCGGCUAGCUUGGUCUAGGCUAGGAGACUUGGGCUCUCCGGACCCCGGUUCAAAUCCGGGCAGCCCCACCA